RNAcentral lists this ribosomal RNA (478 nucleotides) under uncultured organism. RNAcentral describes it as "partial 16S ribosomal RNA". It matches the Rfam family "Bacterial small subunit ribosomal RNA", at positions 332 to 801 of the family's 1533-position model. The record is from RNAcentral.
UACACUCCUACGGGAGGCAGCAGUGGGGAAUAUUGCACAAUGGGCGCAAGCCUGAUGCAGCCAUGCCGCGUGUAUGAAGAAGGCCUUCGGGUUGUAAAGUACUUUCAGCGGGGAGGAAGGCGAUAAGGUUAAUAACCUUGUUGAUUGACGUUACCCGCAGAAGAAGCACCGGCUAACUCCGUGCCAGCAGCCGCGGUAAUACGGAGGGUGCAAGCGUUAAUCGGAAUUACUGGGCGUAAAGCGCACGCAGGCGGUCUGUCAAGUCGGAUGUGAAAUCCCCGGGCUCAACCUGGGAACUGCAUUCGAAACUGGCAGGCUAGAGUCUUGUAGAGGGGGGUAGAAUUCCAGGUGUAGCGGUGAAAUGCGUAGAGAUCUGGAGGAAUACCGGUGGCGAAGGCGGCCCCCUGGACAAAGACUGACGCUCAGGUGCGAAAGCGUGGGGAGCAAACAGGAUUAGAAACCCUAGUAGUCCCAUGAU